CCUACGGGUGGCAGCAGUGAGGAAUAUUGGUCAAUGGCCGGAAGGCUGAACCAGCCAAGCCGCGUGAGGGAGGAAGGCGCAGAGCGUCGCAGACCUCUUUUGCCGGGGGACAAAAGGCCGGACUCGUCCGGUCCUGAGGGUACCCGGAGAAAAAGCAUCGGCUAACUCCGUGCCAGCAGCCGCGGUAAUACGGAGGAUGCGAGGGUUAUCCGGAUUCAUUGGGUUUAACGGGUGCGCAGGCGGACCUUUAAGCCUGCGGUGAAAUUGCGGGGCUCAACCCCGCCGCGCCGUGGAAACUGGGGGCCUUGAGUGCGGGAGAGGCAUGCGGAAUGCGAGGUGUAGCGGUGAAAUGCAUAGAUAUCGCGCAGAACCCCGAUUGCGAAGGCAGCGUGCCGGGCCGCCACUGACGCUGAGGCACGAAAGCGCGGGGAUCGAACAGGAUUAGAUACCCGAGUAGUC
RNAcentral lists this ribosomal RNA (459 nucleotides) under uncultured bacterium. RNAcentral describes it as "partial 16S ribosomal RNA". It matches the Rfam family "Bacterial small subunit ribosomal RNA", at positions 338 to 795 of the family's 1533-position model. The record is from RNAcentral.